RNAcentral lists this transfer RNA (75 nucleotides) under Deinococcus aetherius. Its description in RNAcentral is "tRNA-Arg". The stretch from base 8 to 72 matches the Rfam family "tRNA". Rfam says of the family: Transfer RNA (tRNA) molecules are approximately 80 nucleotides in length. The record is from RNAcentral. Lineage: Bacteria; Thermotogati; Deinococcota; Deinococci; Deinococcales; Deinococcaceae.
GAGAUGGGCGGGCCGAAGGUCCAGGCUUAUCGACUCCGGAUCGAGAGGUCGCGGGUUCGAAUCCCGCCCGUUCCC